Molecule: ribosomal RNA, 510 nt
Filed under: uncultured bacterium
Lineage: Bacteria
Description: partial 16S ribosomal RNA
Rfam family: Bacterial small subunit ribosomal RNA
Source: RNAcentral
GACGAACGCUGGCGGCGUGCCUAAUACAUGCAAGUCGAGCGAAUGACGAGAAGCUUGCUUCUCUGAUUUAGCGGCGGACGGGUGAGUAACACGUGGGCAACCUGCCCUACAGAUCGGGAUAACUCAGGGAAACCUGGGCUAAUACCGGAUACUCCUUCGAAUCACAUGUUGUGAAGCUGAACGGCGCUUCGGCGUCACUGUAGGAUGGUCCAGGGGUGCAUUAGCUAGUUGGUGGGGUAACGGCCUACCAAGGCAACGAUGCAUAGCCGGUCUGAGAGGAUGAUCGGCUACAUUGGGACUGAGACACGGCCCAAACUCCUACGGGAGGCAGCAGUAGGGAAUCUUCCACAAUGGACGAAAGUCUGAUGGAGCAACGCCGCGUGAGUGAUGAAGGUUUUCGGAUUGUAAAACUCUGUUGUAAGGGAAGAACAAGUACGUUAGGAAAUGAACGUACCUUGACGGUACCUUAUUAGAAAGCCACGGCUAACUACGUGCCAGCAGCCGCCGUAA